GACGAACGCUGGCGGCGUGCUUAACACAUGCAAGUCGAACGGAAAGGCCCUGCUUUUGUGGUGUGCUCGAGUGGCGAACGGGUGAGUAACACGUGAGUAACCUGCCCUUGACUUUGGGAUAACUUCAGGAAACUGGGGCUAAUACCGGAUAGGAGCUCCUGCUGCAUUGUGGGGGUUGGAAAGUUUCGGCGGUUGGGGCUGGACUCGCGGCUUAUCAGCUUGUUGGUGGGGUAGUGGCUUACCAAGGCUUUGACGGGUAGCCGGCCUGAGAGGGUGACCGGCCACAUUGGGACUGCGAUACGGCCCAGACUCCUACGGGAGGCAGCAGUGGGGAAUAUUGCACAAUGGGCGGAAGCCUGAUGCAGCAACGCCGCGUGCGGGAUGACGGCCUUCGGGUUGUAAACCGCUUUCGCCUGUGACGAAGCGUGAGUGACGGUAAUGGGUAAAGAAGCACCGGCUAACUACGUG
RNAcentral lists this ribosomal RNA (468 nucleotides) under uncultured bacterium. RNAcentral describes it as "partial 16S ribosomal RNA". It matches the Rfam family "Bacterial small subunit ribosomal RNA", at positions 28 to 507 of the family's 1533-position model. The record is from RNAcentral.